UUAUAAUAAUAAUAAUGUCACUAUAAAUACAAAGGUAACUGAUAUACGUUUUCAUGGUUUUAUAUUGAGAGCCUGUAUAAUCAGAGGUGGAAAACUAGGGAAUCGUUUUCUAUUAACUCUUUGUCACGAGUGCCACCAUUUUCCAGUAUUAUAUUAUUGUCUACCAUGUAAUUGCUGGGUGCGUAUCGCUUGCGCUAUUAGUUCAUUAAGUCGUCAUUUAUUUAGUAAUAUACUGUGCAAUCG
Non-coding RNA from Cinara cedri, 243 nucleotides. The record is from the annotation of a GenBank genome assembly. NCBI's taxonomy places the organism in Eukaryota, Metazoa, Arthropoda, Insecta, Hemiptera, Aphididae.